GAUGAACGCUGGCGGCGUGCCUAAUACAUGCAAGUCGAGCGAACAGAUGAGGAGCUUGCUCCUCUGACGUUAGCGGCGGACGGGUGAGUAACACGUGGAUAACCUACCUAUAAGGCUGGGAUAACUUCGGGAAACCGGAGCUAAUACCGGAUAAUAUAUUGAACCGCAUGGUUCAAUAGUGAAAGACGGUUUUGCUGUCACUUAUAGAUGGAUCCGCGCCACAUUAGCUAGUUGGUAAGGUAACGGCUUACCAAGGCAACGAUGCGUAGCCGACCUGAGAGGGUGAUCGGCCACACUGGAACUGAGACACGGUCCAGACUCCUACGGGAGGCAGCAGUAGGGAAUCUUCCGCAAUGGGCGAAAGCCUGGCGGAGCAACGCCGCGUGAGUGAUGAAGGUCUUCGGAUCGUAAAACUCUGUUAUUAGGGAAGAACAAAUGUGUAAGUAACUAUGCACGUCUUGACGGUACCUAAUCAGAAAGCCACGGCUAACUACGUG
This 497-nucleotide ribosomal RNA is filed under the name uncultured bacterium. Its description in RNAcentral is "partial 16S ribosomal RNA". It matches the Rfam family "Bacterial small subunit ribosomal RNA", at positions 28 to 507 of the family's 1533-position model. The record is from RNAcentral.